This 253-nucleotide ribosomal RNA is filed under the name uncultured bacterium. Its description in RNAcentral is "partial 16S ribosomal RNA". It matches the Rfam family "Bacterial small subunit ribosomal RNA", at positions 524 to 776 of the family's 1533-position model. The record is from RNAcentral.
UACAGAGGGUGCAAGCGUUAAUCGGAAUUACUGGGCGUAAAGCGCGCGUAGGCCGUCGAGUAAGUCGGAUGUGAAAUCCCCGGGCUUAACCUGGGAAUUGCAUUCGAUACUGCUUGACUAGAGUGUGGAAGAGGGAAGCGGAAUUUCCGGUGUAGCGGUGAAAUGCGUAGAUAUCGGAAGGAACACCAGUGGCGAAGGCGGCUUCCUGGUCCAACACUGAAGCUGAGGCGCGAAAGCGUCGGGUCUGAACAGG